Molecule: long non-coding RNA, 1008 nt
Organism: Ostrinia nubilalis (European corn borer)
Lineage: Eukaryota; Metazoa; Arthropoda; Insecta; Lepidoptera; Crambidae
Exons: 3
Source: RefSeq, a predicted model, not a curated record
UUGACGGCCAGUAUAAUAAUCACAAAAAAUAUUGUUUUGUUUUUGUUUUGUUUAGGAAUUAAUUGGAAAAAACAAAGAAAUUAAUAGGUAGAUACUGGAUAGUGCAAAAAUGACCAACUGCGUACUGCGUUAUUGCAGUAAUAAUAAUAUAAAAAACAACAAAUCUUCAGACGGCGUAACUUUUCAUAAACUCCCUCACCCUGGAAACAGUAAACGAGACGAAUGGAUACAAUUUAUCCAAAAAAAUAGAAGUGAAAAAGAUUGGUUACCAUCUAAACAUACAUCAAUUUGUUCCAAACACUUCCGGGAAGAAGAUUAUUAUUUCACCAAAACUGGACGAAAAUAUCUUAAAAAAAAUGCUGUGCCAUAUGAAAAUCCUGAACGCAACCAGUCCUAUGAAAACCCUGAACGCAACCAGUCCUAUGAAAACCCUGAACACAACCAGCCCCCACUACCUCCUACAAAACCUGUAUAUGUUUCAGAUACAGAGCAUGGAAUCUCCGCGCGCCGAGUGGGCAGCCGGCUAAUUCCGUGCUCUGUGGUUUCAGAUUUAGAAUGUGCAAAGGAGAUACCAGGAAACAUUAAAUUAAAAAAAGAAUUAUUCAAAGUUACAGCCGAUAAAAACGAAUUAAUUAAAAAAAAUAUAAAAUUAAGACAACUAUGUAGACAUCUUAAAUCAAGAAACCUGAAAUUACAGGAAAUAAUAAGGAGUCUACAAUCAAAUUACCCUCUAGAACGUUUUGUUGAAAUUAAUGAAGAAGAGAUGGAUAUAGAUGAAAUUGAUUGAAGACGAAAUUAAUGAAAAAUGAAUGAAUAAAAUGAAAUUUUAUAGCAAGCUCCAGUUGUGGAUUAAUAACUAAGUAAUAGUUAAUACCACAAUGAUUAAAGUUGUUCUAAGACUAAGUAAAGAUGAUACUUAAAGAUAUUUAUUAGAAAGAAAUAACCUGUUUAAAUGUAGCCUGUGAAUUUGCAAGAAAUACUAUACAGUUAGAAGAGUGUGGGUACUAA